This 253-nucleotide ribosomal RNA is filed under the name uncultured bacterium. Its description in RNAcentral is "partial 16S ribosomal RNA". It matches the Rfam family "Bacterial small subunit ribosomal RNA", at positions 524 to 776 of the family's 1533-position model. The record is from RNAcentral.
UACGUAGGCAGCAAGCGUUGUUCGGAAUUACUGGGCGUAAAGAGUGUGUAGGCGGUUUUCUAAGUUUGGUGUGAAAUCUCCCGGCUUAACUGGGAGGGUGCGCCGAAAACUGGAAGGCUUGAGUGCCGGAGAGGAUAGCGGAGUUCCCGGUGUAGCGGUGAAAUGCGUAGAUAUCGGGAGGAACACCUGUGGUGUAGACGGCUAUCUGGACGGCGACUGACGCUGAGACACGAAAGCGUGGGUAGCAAACAGG